RNAcentral lists this ribosomal RNA (253 nucleotides) under uncultured bacterium. RNAcentral's name for it is "partial 16S ribosomal RNA". It matches the Rfam family "Bacterial small subunit ribosomal RNA", at positions 524 to 776 of the family's 1533-position model. The record is from RNAcentral.
UACGGGGGGGGCAAGCGUUGUUCGGAAUUACUGGGCGUAAAGGGCUCGUAGGUGGCCAACUAAGUCAGACGUGAAAUCCCCCGGCUUAACCUGGGAACUGCGUCUGAUACUGGAUGGCUUGAGUUUGGGAGAGGGACGCGGAAUUCCAGGUGUAGCGGUGAAAUGCGUAGAUAUCUGGAGGAACACCGGUGGCGAAGGCGGCGUCCUGGACCAACACUGACACUGAGGAGCGAAAGCCAGGGGAGCAAACGGG